GACGAACGCUGGCGGCGUGCUUAACACAUGCAAGUCGAACGGAAAGGCCCUGCUUUUGUGGGGUGCUCGAGUGGCGAACGGGUGAGUAACACGUGAGUAACCUGCCCUUGACUUUGGGAUAACUUCAGGAAACUGGGGCUAAUACCGGAUAGGAGCUCCUGCUGCAUGGUGGGGGUUGGAAAGUUUCGGCGGUUGGGGAUGGACUCGCGGCUUAUCAGCUUGUUGGUGGGGUAGUGGCUUACCAAGGCUUUGACGGGUAGCCGGCCUGAGAGGGUGACCGGCCACAUUGGGACUGAGAUACGGCGCAGACUCCUACGGGAGGCAGCAGUGGGGAAUAUUGCACAAUGGGCGGAAGCCUGAUGCAGAAGCGCUGCGUGCGGGAUGACGGCCUUCGGGUUGUAAACCGCUUUCGCCUGUGACGAAGCGUGAGUGACGGUAAUGGGUAAAGAAGCACCGGCUAACUACGUG
RNAcentral lists this ribosomal RNA (468 nucleotides) under uncultured bacterium. Its description in RNAcentral is "partial 16S ribosomal RNA". It matches the Rfam family "Bacterial small subunit ribosomal RNA", at positions 28 to 507 of the family's 1533-position model. The record is from RNAcentral.